UAUUUUAUAGGUGUAGAAUUGUGGGAAACGACAAUCCAAUGAGGACCCAAGUGUGGUCGCGCAGGAGGGAGAAAUUUCUUUGGGAAGAGCAGCAUCUCAUCGGCUGACGCUCAUCAGAAUGUCGAAGAUUCCAUUGUUGUGGAAGGCAGGUGAUGCACUUCGUGUCUUCCUGUGACGCAAAAGGAACUUGCUCUCAGUUCUGGAGAGACACGGUUAGUGGAUCGUUGGUGCUAAUCACAAAUAAAAGUUAAGUUGGCCUUCUCCUGAUCGAUUUCUUCAACGGAUGCAUGGACAUAUGGAUGCUCGUCUUUGCCGUGGCCACGUCUUGCCGAAGUAGAGACGUUGUGAGGCCGUCUGGGUCGAGGGCCGUGGCCCGCGAACGCCGUUGCCCGUAUGCGUGAAGUUGUAGAGCCUACGCGUCCCCUCACUGUGAAGGGCCUUGGUUGCGUAUGCUUCCAUGAAAAACAAAACAACGGUGAAUCGUUCAUGACUGAGCGUGAGUUCCUCUAGAAAGGACAAAACCCAAAUCAAUUUUGUGUUCCUAAUCGAUUUCUUCCUGGAUGGGGCACGCAUAUCCAUGCCGACGACACUCUGGAGGCAUUUCAUGCUAGUUCGUGGUCCUUUUUUUUGGCAAAGCCCGAUACAACCAUAUGCCCUUGUUGCCCUGCCGUCAGGUGUGCAAGUUCGGCGCCGCUGCCUUUGUUGCAAGAGAUAAUUCGCCUAUGGUCUUCUCUGUUUUAGCCUAUCUCUCUAAUGGAGAUCAAAGUACAUGAUAACGUGUUUGAAGGAGAAAGUAAAGAACGAGAGACAUGAAUAAAGA
Molecule: long non-coding RNA, 820 nt
Filed under: Hordeum vulgare
Lineage: Eukaryota; Viridiplantae; Streptophyta; Magnoliopsida; Poales; Poaceae
Description: long non-coding RNA (HVUL_LNC018023)
Source: RNAcentral